Molecule: unclassified non-coding RNA, 676 nt
Filed under: Hevea brasiliensis (rubber tree)
Lineage: Eukaryota; Viridiplantae; Streptophyta; Magnoliopsida; Malpighiales; Euphorbiaceae
Source: RNAcentral
UCUCUCUCUCUCUCUCUCUCAUUGAGACUUGGAAAUUUACAAGAAAAGAAAAUACCUCUUGUGAUAUAGCCUUAGGACUAGAACCUUGGUUAACAAGGAAGGGGCUAAAUCCGCAAGCAUCUUUUCUUUUAAAAAAUGAAUCAAGACAUAUGGAUUAGUCAUUUAUUCAAGCUAUUUAAUUAAAAUACUUGAACUUAUAAUACCCAAAAGUAACUAGAGAUACAGUACAUAGGUUUGACCAUAGUUGUUAAAGGGCAUGUCCUAGGCUCAAGGCUCAACAAAUGUUAGGUCUAGUGCCUCUACCAUGGUCAAGCAAGCUACGAAACUGAUGCACAUGCCUUUUUACUGGCACAAGGUGCAACAAAGAUUUACCUUUGUUAUAUUUUGAUCGUCACCAUCUAUAUAAUCAAAACUAUUGAUAUGAGAUUGGAAAUUAAGAUCCGGUGUAAAUGUAAGGUAAUACACCCAUUUAAACUGGAAGCAACAAAGAAACAAGAAGACCAUGAAUAUAUGGGUUCAUUUGGAAUAAAUUAUUUAUAAGAAAAAAAUUCAAAAGAAUUCUCACACAAUCAUACAUGAGUUCUAUUUUUAAAAUGAAAAAUUUUUAAGUUAAAAAGAAUUGAAUCCUUUCAUUCCAAACAUGAGAAUUAAUAAAAAAGAAAUUAAUUGAAUUGAA